AACUUGCUCCCUUAGGUCAGCGGCGGACGGGUGAGUAACACGUGGGUAACCUGCCUGUAAGACUGGGAUAACUCCGGGAAACCGGGGCUAAUACCGGAUGCUUGAUUGAACCGCAUGGUUCAAUCAUAAAAGGUGGCUUUUAGCUACCACUUACAGAUGGACCCGCGGCGCAUUAGCUAGUUGGUGAGGUAACGGCUCACCAAGGCGACGAUGCGUAGCCGACCUGAGAGGGUGAUCGGCCACACUGGGACUGAAACACGGCCCAGACUCCUACGGGAGGCAGCAGUAGGGAAUCUUCCGCAAUGGACGAAAGUCUGACGGAGCAACGCCGCGUGAGUGAUGAAAGGUUUGGAUCGGAAAACUCUGGUCU
RNAcentral lists this ribosomal RNA (370 nucleotides) under Bacillus sp. H15. RNAcentral's name for it is "bacterial SSU rRNA". It matches the Rfam family "Bacterial small subunit ribosomal RNA", at positions 77 to 439 of the family's 1533-position model. Lineage: Bacteria; Bacillati; Bacillota; Bacilli; Caryophanales; Bacillaceae. The record is from RNAcentral.